Molecule: long non-coding RNA, 728 nt
Organism: Solea solea (common sole)
Lineage: Eukaryota; Metazoa; Chordata; Actinopteri; Pleuronectiformes; Soleidae
Exons: 2
Source: RefSeq, a predicted model, not a curated record
AGCAGUUCUGGGGAAAGAAAAUACAUAAGGAAAUAUAAAUAUCAUUUUUAUCUGGAGUCUUUGUUAGAUGAUGACAGGGUUCCCACACCUUUGGUUGACAUUAAAUUCAAGGACCAAUUCCCCUCACAGUUCAAGGACAGAAUAUGCUGACACAGCGUAAGAUGGGAGGGCGACUUCGCCCAUGAUCGCCUGCAAGUGAUUGUCCUUGGGAUCUCCCUUUUUUUUAACGUUAUUUGCUUGUUCUGCGUUAAAUCUCACGUCAACAACAGAUAGACAGUGUACAGUAAUUAUGAAUCAAUGUUGGUAGGUGGCGUCUUUAACAGACAAGGGAGACCUUGUCUAAAUAUCAACUUAACUUCUUUCUUGUGCAAAAUUCAAUUCAAGCAUUUUCAAUGACCCAUGUUUUUCUAGGAUUUCAAGGACCUGUGGGAACCCUGUGACGAUGUAUGGAUAAGACAGUGUCAGGAGUUUCUUCUUACAGGUUUCCUGGGCUCGUCCACUUCUCUGAUGCUGAGGUUCUCCAGAGGAAUAAUCCCACGAGGCUCUUUGUCCUGGAGACACACAGGGGACAACACCCGGGGGAGACACAACCCUGCUCUCUCCCCGUCCUCCAGCAACUGCUCUUGUGUUUGUGGGGCCAGAUGUGAAGUGUGUGUGUGUGUGUUGGAGGGGGGAGAGACCUUGAGGAACAGCCUCAUGUCCUGCUUGUCAUCUUCCUCCUAACGAGG